Molecule: ribosomal RNA, 483 nt
Filed under: uncultured bacterium
Lineage: Bacteria
Description: partial 16S ribosomal RNA
Rfam family: Bacterial small subunit ribosomal RNA
Source: RNAcentral
GACGAACGCUGGCGGCGUGCUUAACACAUGCAAGUCGAACGCUGAAGCUCAGCUUUUGUUGGGUGGAUGAGUGGCGAACGGGUGAGUAACACGUGAGUAACCUGCCCCCUUCUUUGGGAUAACGCCCGGAAACGGGUGCUAAUACUGGAUAUUCACUGGUCUUCGCAUGGGGGUUGGUGGAAAGGGUUUUUCUGGUGGGGGAUGGGCUCGCGGCCUAUCAGCUUGUUGGUGGGGUGAUGGCCUACCAAGGCUUUGACGGGUAGCCGGCCUGAGAGGGUGACCGGUCACAUUGGGACUGAGAUACGGCCCAGACUCCGACGGGAGGCAGCAGUGGGGAAUAUUGCACAAUGGGCGAAAGCCUGAUGCAGCGACGCCGCGUGAGGGAUGGAGGCCUUCGGGUUGUGAACCUCUUUCGCUCAUGGUCAAGCCGCAACAAUGGUUGUGGUGAGGGUAGUGGGUAAAGAAGCGCCGGCUAACUACGUG